UACAGAGGUCUCAAGCGUUGUUCGGAUUCAUUGGGCGUAAAGGGUGCGUAGGCGGCGCGGUAAGUCGGGUGUGAAAUCUCAGAGCUUAACUCCGAAACUGCAUUCGAUACUGCCGUGCUUGAGGACUGGAGAGGAGACUGGAAUUUACGGUGUAGCGGUGAAAUGCGCAGAUAUCAGGAAGAACACCCGUGGCGAAGGCGGCUCUCUGGGACGGUACUGACGCUGAGACGCGAAAGCGUGGGGAGCGAACAGG
Molecule: ribosomal RNA, 253 nt
Filed under: uncultured bacterium
Lineage: Bacteria
Description: partial 16S ribosomal RNA
Rfam family: Bacterial small subunit ribosomal RNA
Source: RNAcentral